This is an RNA transcript of Musa acuminata AAA Group (dessert banana), 1969 nucleotides long. It is a transcript of the gene named protein BYPASS1-LIKE-like, with no coding region annotated. The transcript is spliced from 3 exons. Lineage: Eukaryota; Viridiplantae; Streptophyta; Magnoliopsida; Zingiberales; Musaceae. The record is from RefSeq and is a predicted model, not a curated record.
UUCCCACUCGUUAUCUCUGUCUCACUCCUUGGACGACUCUUAUUUUUACCCCAUCCCCAUCAACCCCUUUCCCGAACCCAACUCCGUUUCCUUGCCCCCCAAGCUUCGAAUUUUCCCCCGGUUCAAUUCUCUGAGAAGUGUUUAAGAGGAUUUGUUGUCGUCGUCGGUGGUGAUCAUGCCGACGAUGGACUACCAGGGUUCGUCCCUCCCCUUUGCCUCCAUCGGGCGUUCCAUCCUCAGCAUCCGCCGCGACCAGGUGCACACCGUUCACGCCGGCCGACACCAUGACCCCGCCGCCAUCGACCUCGAUGAUCUCGAUGCCCUCCAGAAGCGCGUUGCCGACCUCUUCCUUGACCUCUCUUCCUCUGACGACGAUCUGCUCUCCCUCGCCUGGGUCCGCAAGCUGCUCGACGGCUUCCUCGUCUGCCAGGAGGAGUUUCGCGGGAUCCUCUUCGACUGCAGCCAGGGCCGGCGGGUGAACCUCUCCCGGCCCCCCCUUGACCGCCUCCUCUCCGACUACUUUGACCGCGCCGUCAAGGCCCUCGACGUCUGCAAUGCCGUCCGCGACGGCAUCGACCAGCUCCGUCGGUGGCGCCGGCACCUCGAGAUCGCCCUCGCCGCUCUCAGCGGCGGCGGCCGGACCCUCGGCGAGGGCCAGCUCCGCCGCGCCCGCAAGGCCCUCACUGAACUCGCCAUCCUCAUGAUCGACGAGAAGGAGGCCGGCGGCGGGUCCGUCCUGACCCUCCGCAAUCGCUCCUUCGGCCGCGCCGGCAAGGAGCCGCCCCACCACCGCCGAGCCGGCAGCGGUGGGGCCGCCGUAUCCUCCUCGGGGCACCACCGUUCCCUCUCUUGGAGCGUCUCCCGGUCGUGGUCCGCCGCGCGGCAGCUCCAAGCGAUCGGAAACAAUCUCACCCCUCCUAGGGGCAACGAGGUUACCGCCACCAACGGCCUCGCCGUCCCCGUCUUCACCAUGAGCUCUGUGCUCUUCUUCGUGAUGUGGGCGCUCGUGGCGGCGAUCCCGUGUCAGGACCGCGGCCUCCAGACCCACUUCUGGGUUCCCCGGAACUUCUCCUGGGCCGCCUCCAUCACAUCGCUUCACGACCGAAUCUUCGAGGAAUCAAAAAGGAAGGAGAGGAAGAGCUCAUGCGGGAUGCUAAAGGAGAUCCACCAUAUGGAGAAGUGCAUCCGCCACCUGACAGAGUUGCUGGACCCGGUUGACUUCCCAUGGACGGAGGGGAAGGAGACGGAGCUGAGGCAGGGGGUGGAAGAGCUAGCAGAGGUCUGCAACACCAUGAAAGACGGCUUAGAACAACUGGAGCGCCAGGUGCGGGAGGUCUUCCUUAGGAUGGUGAGGAGCCGAACGGAAGGCCUCGACUGCCUCAGCAAAUCCCACCAUCCCGAGUGAAUUGUCACCGGGAAGUGCCAAAUCCGCAGCUUUCGGCGAUGCUGCGUCUACAAAUCGAUCCUCGAAGAAGGCAAGAUUGAAGAUAAGAUGAUGAACCAAGUGUCUUCUUCCGAUGAUAAAGCAGGAGGUGUGGCAUCUGCUGAGAUCCCGGUAACGGUGGAAGAUGCCAAGAUAAAAUUUGACUUGGCCCAUUACUUGAUAUUCCAAAGCUGCUUAGCCAGCAGUAUGCUUGUGGACUUUUGUCAUAUAUCUCUAUCUGAGCUGCAAAUUCACAUGUCUACGUUGAAGAAACCGGAGGAAAGCUAAGGUCAACAUUGGAUGGCAAAAACUAGGUUUAUUUGCAUGUGCCAAUAUGCCCCAAGAAUUGAAUAUAUGACAUUAGUGUAGGCAACCUGAAUCCAAGUGUUUGUUUCUUUGGUGACAUGCACAGAAGAACUAGUGUGAAAGAUCAAGAAGAAGCAAAAGGCAAUGUUCUAUGUAUGUAAUUAGGGUUCUUUGGUUCUCUGCAAAUGAAUCAUUUGUAUAUCUGCAUAUGUAUUCCCAUAAAUUACAAAAUAUCAUGAC